ACCUGCCCCUGACUCUGGGAUAAGCGCUGGAAACGGCGUCUAAUACUGGAUACGAGUAGCGACCGAAUGGUCAGCUACUGGAAAGAUUUAUUGGUUGGGGAUGGGCUCGCGGCCUAUCAGCUUGUUGGUGAGGUAAUGGCUCACCAAGGCGUCGACGGGUAGCCGGCCUGAGAGGGUGACCGGCCACACUGGGACUGAGACACGGCCCAGACUCCUACGGGAGGCAGCAGUGGGGAAUAUUGCACAAUGGGCGCAAGCCUGAUGCAGCAACGCCGCGUGAGGGAUGACGGCCUUCGGGUUGUAAACCUCUUUUAGCAGGGAAGAAGCGAAAGUGACGGUACCUGCAGAAAAAGCGCCGGCUAACUACGUGCCAGCAGCCGCGGUAAUACGUAGGGCGCAAGCGUUAUCCGGAAUUAUUGGGCGUAAAGAGCUCGUAGGCGGUUUGUCGCGUCUGCUGUGAAAUCCGGAGGCUCAACCUCCGGCCUGCAGUGGGUACGGGCAGACUAGAGUGCGGUAGGGGAGAUUGGAAUUC
This 532-nucleotide ribosomal RNA is filed under the name Microbacterium sp. bm2. Its description in RNAcentral is "bacterial SSU rRNA". It matches the Rfam family "Bacterial small subunit ribosomal RNA", at positions 124 to 669 of the family's 1533-position model. Lineage: Bacteria; Bacillati; Actinomycetota; Actinomycetes; Micrococcales; Microbacteriaceae. The record is from RNAcentral.